GAUGGAGAUGGCCAUUUUUGGAUUGCAUCAGCCACGGAAAUUACACUUUUCUGGAAGAUGGCAUUCAGGUAUCCAGUGAUCCGAAAGGUUGCAGGAAUUAUUUUGAAGCACAUAGGAGAACUAGAAACGAAUAAGAAUGGUGGUGUUUUUGUGGUGGAUUUGAAGGGGAAAUUAAUUUCUCAGUACCAUGAUCCAAGGUUAAUGCUGAUUACAAGUGGGGUGAAGAUUGGAACUCAUCUGUACUGUGGUUCUAUCAUCUAUCCCCAUAUUAUCCGCCUGAAUUUGGCCAAGUAUCCUGCCGUACAUGUCACCAAGUGAGCUACAAGUUCCACAACUCCUAAUCCACCUUUCAUUUAUAAAUCUCAAGUGAGCCGGGACAGCCUUCUUCCUCCGCC
This 395-nucleotide unclassified non-coding RNA is filed under the name Hevea brasiliensis (rubber tree). Lineage: Eukaryota; Viridiplantae; Streptophyta; Magnoliopsida; Malpighiales; Euphorbiaceae. The record is from RNAcentral.